AUGAAUUGGAUAAGCUGGAACUGUCGGGGGGCGGGGAACUCCAUGACAGUUCGCGAUCUUGCGUCGCUUGUUAGGACGCAUUCCGAGUCUCUUUUUCUUUGUGAAACUAGGCAAAAUAAAGAGAAGAUGUAUCGUUUAAGAAAUAAGCUAGGUCUUUCUGGUUUUGAAGCAGUCAAUUGUAAUGGUCGUAGUGGUGGUCUAGCUCUCUUUUGGCAUGAGUCUAUGUAC
RNAcentral lists this ribosomal RNA (228 nucleotides) under Triticum aestivum (bread wheat). Its description in RNAcentral is "partial small subunit ribosomal RNA". The record is from RNAcentral. Lineage: Eukaryota; Viridiplantae; Streptophyta; Magnoliopsida; Poales; Poaceae.